GACGGAGGGUGCGAGCGUUAAUCGGAAUUACUGGGCGUAAAGGGCGCGUAGGCGGUGGGUUACGUCUGCCGUGAAAUCCCUGGGCUCAACCUGGGAAUGGCGGUGGAAACGGGCUGACUGGAGUAUGGGAGAGGGUUAUGGAAUUCCAGGUGUAGCGGUGAAAUGCGUAGAGAUCUGGAGGAACACCAGUGGCGAAGGCGGUCACCUGGCCCAAUACUGACGCUGAGGCGCGAAAGCGUGGGGAGCAAACAGG
Molecule: ribosomal RNA, 253 nt
Filed under: uncultured Acidithiobacillus sp.
Lineage: Bacteria; Pseudomonadati; Pseudomonadota; Acidithiobacillia; Acidithiobacillales; Acidithiobacillaceae
Description: partial 16S ribosomal RNA
Rfam family: Bacterial small subunit ribosomal RNA
Source: RNAcentral